UUAGCAUUAUCAGCAGCAGCUUUAAGGCAAAAGGAGAUUAGCAAGUGGGCUUAGGGAGAGGGAAGUGCUACCUGCAGGGAGCUUCGCGGACAUCGUUGCGUGAGCUUUCCCGUGCCCGCCGAGGUCCUCGUCAUCCUCGGAGGAGGUCGCCAUUCUCAUUGAUGGCGUGCGCCUGUUGCUUGCAAAACGAACAAACCGCAAAUCCAUCCAACUCUUAGAGGCUCGACAAAUGGAUGGGGAGAAUUGUAAUAGGGAGGAUGAGAAUCGAACCGGGACGGACCUUGGCCGACAGCAGCUGUACGGAGUUGGGGUCCAGGCUGGUGAUGAGGUAGUCGAGGAAGAAGGCAUCCUUGGACGUCG
RNAcentral lists this long non-coding RNA (360 nucleotides) under Hordeum vulgare. Its description in RNAcentral is "long non-coding RNA (HVUL_LNC016002)". The record is from RNAcentral. Lineage: Eukaryota; Viridiplantae; Streptophyta; Magnoliopsida; Poales; Poaceae.